UACAGAGGGUGCAAGCGUUAAUCGGAAUUACUGGGCGUAAAGCGAGCGUAGUCGGUUAUUUAAGUCGGAUGUGAAAUCCCCGGGCUCAACCUGGGAAUUGCAUUCGAUACUGGAUAGCUAGAGUUCGGCAGAGGGAAGCGGAAUUUCUGGUGUAGCGGUGAAAUGCGUAGAUAUCAGAAGGAACAUCAGUGGCGAAAGCGGCUUCCUGGACCAGAACUGACGAUCAGGUUCGAAAGCGUGGGGAGCAAACAGG
Molecule: ribosomal RNA, 253 nt
Filed under: uncultured bacterium
Lineage: Bacteria
Description: partial 16S ribosomal RNA
Rfam family: Bacterial small subunit ribosomal RNA
Source: RNAcentral